RNAcentral lists this non-coding RNA (216 nucleotides) under Nitrospirota bacterium. Lineage: Bacteria; Pseudomonadati; Nitrospirota. The record is from RNAcentral.
AAGGGAAGCGCGGUAGAAGCCGCCACUGGUCCGCAACUGUGAUCGGGGACGAAAUCUGCAAGAGCCACUGUCUCGGGACGGUGAUCAGUGAUUAGUGAGGAGUGAUGAGUCUGAAGAAGCGAACGGCUUCCUCACUUAUCACCCGUCACACAUUACUGUUCACUGUUCAAGAUGGGAAGGCGCAGAGAGUAGGACGAGCCGAGAGUCAGGAGACCU